CUUGCCUACAUUUCUUCUGUUCCACAUGGCGGCAUUGAACAAGUUCGGAUUCACUGGUUACUGGAAUUAGUUGCUCUUAGUUUUUUAGGAAGGUGGUCAUAAUCCUGCACACAGUUAAGUACUGCAUCAGUACUCUAGGAUGGCCUCUGAUAGUCCAUCUGUGAAUAUAGCAGCUGCUGCCAUCUGUAAAAAAGGUGACACAAAUGCUUUUGCCAAGAAGUAGAUGUGCUCAAAUAAAAGACUGCCACCUUCCCCUUCUUA
Non-coding RNA from Cyanistes caeruleus (blue tit), 261 nucleotides. Lineage: Eukaryota; Metazoa; Chordata; Aves; Passeriformes; Paridae. The record is from RefSeq and is a predicted model, not a curated record.